RNAcentral lists this ribosomal RNA (481 nucleotides) under uncultured bacterium. Its description in RNAcentral is "partial 16S ribosomal RNA". It matches the Rfam family "Bacterial small subunit ribosomal RNA", at positions 28 to 507 of the family's 1533-position model. The record is from RNAcentral.
GAUGAACGCUGGCGGCGUGCUUAACACAUGCAAGUCGAACGAAGCAUUUAGAACAGAUUACUUCGGUUUGAAGUUCUUUAUGACUGAGUGGCGGACGGGUGAGUAACGCGUGGGUAACCUGCCUUGUACUGGGGGAUAGCAGCUGGAAACGGCUGGUAAUACCGCAUAAGCGCACAAUGUUGCAUGACAUGGUGUGAAAAACUCCGGUGGUAUAAGAUGGACCCGCGUCUGAUUAGCUAGUUGGUGAGAUAACAGCCCACCAAGGCGACGAUCAGUAGCCGACCUGAGAGGGUGACCGGCCACAUUGGGACUGAGACACGGCCCAGACUCCUACGGGAGGCAGCAGUGGGGAAUAUUGCACAAUGGAGGAAACUCUGAUGCAGCGACGCCGCGUGAGUGAAGAAGUAAUUCGUUAUGUAAAGCUCUAUCAGCAGGGAAGAUAGUGACGGUACCUGACCAAGAAGCUCCGGCUAAAUACGUG